This 885-nucleotide long non-coding RNA is filed under the name Rattus norvegicus (Norway rat). Its description in RNAcentral is "long non-coding RNA NONRATT030432". The record is from RNAcentral. Lineage: Eukaryota; Metazoa; Chordata; Mammalia; Rodentia; Muridae.
CCCGCGGAAGAAGCAGUCCCGGUUGCGGGCCGCCGCCGCGGGCUGUGGGGACGACUUGGUCGGCGUCCGGCCCGGCAGUCGGAUGAGAGGGCGCCGGCGGCGACACCAGCUGCAGCAACGAGGCUUCUUCUGGCUCGCACGGUUCCGAGGCUCCUUCGAAAGAAGAAUAGUAGACUGGGAUCUCUCCAUGAAGAAGAGGGGCAGAAGGAAGGCUGAAAAACUGACGUGAAACAUGUGCUCCUAUGAUGUGUGCCACAUGCGUGCAGAGCCAGAAGAGGUGAGAAGAGGAAACGACAACUUUAGAAGCAGAGUUAAACACCAGUUCUACGCAUUGUACCAGAACCUGGCCCAUGUGAAGUAAGUGAGUCACAAAUACAGGAUUCUGACACCGUGGAGGGAGGGCAGGAGUCCCUGCAGGUUCUGUGGUCGGCAGGGAAAUGAUUUGGGUGAGGAUCUUGCGUUGAGUACCUGCCCUGACUUCACAUCACGAUGGUCCCUAGACAGCAAAACAAGAAGGCUAGUGAAGAGAAGAACAUGAUUGGCAUUCAGAAUCAGCGGCACAACUUUGAAGUCCUACAGAUCAAGUGCGAGAACAUUGAAAGGAACAUUUCUACAGUGAAGAGUUAAGUGACAGCAUUCUUAUUGUCUGCCGUGUAUACUGUGUGGGAAUGAGACAUCAUGUCAGCGGCUGGGAAAUACAAAGGGAUCAGGAAGAAGUGUGUAGUGAUGGCAGUGUCAUCUGUAGACUGGGCCAGAAAAAUCCACUGAGUUCAGGACAGCAGUUGGCGAUCUCUACUGGACAAAGGAUGAGAGAAGCCUAUCUGUGGUCUUACAAAGACUUCAGGGCUACAGUUGUGAUGAAGACCAGGGAUGGGACAGUCCUCU